Long non-coding RNA from Clupea harengus (Atlantic herring), 432 nucleotides. The record is from Ensembl. Lineage: Eukaryota; Metazoa; Chordata; Actinopteri; Clupeiformes; Clupeidae.
GGGUUGUGUGUCGGGGUGUGUGUCGGGGUGUGUUUCGGGGGGUGUGUUUCGAGGUGUGUUUCGAGGUGUGUUUCGGGGUGUGUUUUCAGGUGUGUUUCAGGGUGUGUUUUUGGGGUGUGUGUCGGGGUGUGUGUCGGGGUGUGUUUCGAGGUGUGUGUCGGGGUGUGGUUUCGGGGUGUGUUUCGAGGUGUGUUUCGGGGUGUGGUUUCGGGGUGUGUUUCGAGGUGUGUUUCGAGGUGUGUUUCGGGGUGUGUGUCGGGGUGUGUUUUCAGGUUGUGUUUGGGGUGUGAGCUCUGUGGUGGAAUAUUGGUUUGUAUUUAGUCCUCCCUCUGUUUUACUUAUGUCCUCUGUUAUGCAACAUGCGUAGUCAUGGUAACUUUGUCUUCUGUUGUUGUUAUCCCUUAAUCUUCUAUUUUCUGGCGUUGUACCUGA